UACGUAGGGGGCGAGCGUUGUCCGGAUUUAUUGGGCGUAAAGAGCGCGUAGGCGGCCAGGUAGGUCCGUUGUGAAAACUCGAGGCUCAACCUCGAGACGUCGAUGGAAACCAUCUGGCUAGAGUCCGGAAGAGGAGAGUGGAAUUCCUGGUGUAGCGGUGAAAUGCGCAGAUAUCGGGAGGAACACCAAUGGCGAAGGCAGCUCGCUGGGACGUGACUGACGCUGAGGCGCGAAAGCGUGGGGAGCAAACAGG
This 253-nucleotide ribosomal RNA is filed under the name uncultured bacterium. RNAcentral's name for it is "partial 16S ribosomal RNA". It matches the Rfam family "Bacterial small subunit ribosomal RNA", at positions 524 to 776 of the family's 1533-position model. The record is from RNAcentral.